GAUGAACGCUGGCGGCGUGCUUAAUACAUGCAAGUCGAGCGAAGCGCUUUAACGGAAUUCUCCGGAAGGAAGAUAAAGUGACUGAGCGGCGGACGGGUGAGUAACGCGUGGGUAACCUGCCUCAUACAGGGGGAUAACAGUUAGAAAUGGCUGCUAAUACCGCAUAAGCGCACAGGACCGCAUGGUCUGGUGUGAAAAACUCCGGUGGUAUGGGAUGGACCCGCGUUGGAUUAGGUAGUUGGUGGGGUAACGGCCUACCAAGCCGACGAUCCAUAGCCGGCCUGAGAGGGUGGACGGCCACAUUGGGACUGAGACACGGCCCAGACUCCUACGGGAGGCAGCAGUAGGGAAUAUUGCACAAUGGGGGAAACCCUGAUGCAGCGACGCCGCGUGAAGGAAGAAGUAUCUCGGUAUGUAAACUUCUAUCAGCAGGGAAGACAAUGACG
RNAcentral lists this ribosomal RNA (446 nucleotides) under uncultured bacterium. RNAcentral's name for it is "bacterial SSU rRNA". It matches the Rfam family "Bacterial small subunit ribosomal RNA", at positions 28 to 456 of the family's 1533-position model. The record is from RNAcentral.